UUAAGGUUAGGGUUAGGUGUAGGGUUAGAUUUUAGGAUUGAUUAAGGGUUAAUGUUAGGGUUAGGCGUAGGGUUAGAUUUUAGGGUUGAUUAAGGGUUAAGGUUAGGGUUAGGUGUAGGGUUAGAUUUUAGGGUUGAUUAAGGGUUAAGGUUAGGGUUAGGUGUAGUGUUUGAUUUUAUGGUUGAUUAAGGGUUAAGGUUAGGGUUAGGUGUAGGGUUUGAUUUUAUGGUUGAUUUAGGGUUAAGGUUAGGGUUAGGUGUAGGGUUUGAUUUUAUGGUUGAUUAAGGGUUAAGGUUAGGGUUAGGUGUAGGGUUAG
Molecule: long non-coding RNA, 316 nt
Organism: Astyanax mexicanus (Mexican tetra)
Lineage: Eukaryota; Metazoa; Chordata; Actinopteri; Characiformes; Acestrorhamphidae
Exons: 4
Source: RefSeq, a predicted model, not a curated record